GCGCCUUAUGCAUGCAAGUCGAGCGAAGCUUUUCAGUAGUUUACUACAGAAAAUGACUGAGCGGCGAACGGGUGAGUAACGCGUGAGCAAUCUACCUUAGUUACAGGGAUAGCCCGAGGAAACUCGGAUUAAUACCUGAUAUUCUUUACAUUUCGCAUGAAAUCAAAAGGAAAGGUCAGCCGAACUAAGAUGAGCUCGCGUUCUAUCAGCUAGUUGGUGAGGUAAAAGCUCACCAAGGCAACGACGGAUAGCUGGUCUGAGAGGACGAUCAGCCACACUGGGACUGAGACACGGCCCAGACUCCUACGGGAGGCUGCAGCAGGGAAUAUUGCGCAAUGAGCGAAAGCUUGACGCAGCGACACCGCGUGUGGGAUGACGGAUCUAGGUUUGUAAACCACUUUCAGGAGGGAAGAAAAUGACGGUACCUCCACAAGAAGCCCCGGCCAACUACG
RNAcentral lists this ribosomal RNA (452 nucleotides) under uncultured bacterium. RNAcentral's name for it is "bacterial SSU rRNA". It matches the Rfam family "Bacterial small subunit ribosomal RNA", at positions 44 to 505 of the family's 1533-position model. The record is from RNAcentral.